Mus musculus (house mouse) is the source of this 1050-nucleotide RNA transcript. It is a transcript of the gene named olfactory receptor family 9 subfamily G member 10, transcript variant 1, non-coding, with no coding region annotated. The transcript is spliced from 2 exons. The record is from RefSeq and is marked validated. NCBI's taxonomy places the organism in Eukaryota, Metazoa, Chordata, Mammalia, Rodentia, Muridae.
AAACUGUUUUAUUUUGAGUUGUUGCAGGAAAUUCUGAAUUCCAGUUUGAAUAAAGAUGAAGUGACAGUUAUUGUUCAUGCAAAAAGCACCAUAAAUACCCAAAAUCAUGGAUGAGGAAAAUAUUACUGAAGUGACAGAGUUUAUUCUUUUAGGAUUCACAGAAGAUGCGGUGUUACAGCAAGUACUCUUUUUCAUCUUCCUUACCAUUUACAUCAUUAGUCUGCUAGGGAAUAUUACUCUGAUUUCUCUCAUCUGUGCUGAUUCACGACUCCAUACACCCAUGUAUUUCUUCAUUGGAAACCUGUCAUUCCUGGAUCUGUGGUAUUCUUCUGUCUAUGCUCCCAAAAUCCUGAUAACAUGCAUCACUGAAGACAAAAGCAUCUCCUUUGCUGGUUGCCUGGCUCAGUUCUUCUUCUACCCCCCCCUGCUGGGCUGGCCUAUAGUGAAUGCUACCUACUGGCUGCCAUGGCUUAUGAUCGUUAUGUGGCCAUCUCCAACCCCUUGCUUUACUCCCAGGCUAUGUCUCCAAGGUUACGUGCCAGUCUUGUUGCAGCAUCCUAUCUUGGUGGCUUUGCAAACUCCACCAUUAUCACCAGUGAGACAUUUACCCUGAGUUUCUGUCGAGACAAUAUCAUUGAUGACUUCUUCUGUGAUCUGCCUCCUCUUGUGAAGUUGGCAUGUGAUGUGAAAGAGAGCUACCAGGCUGUGCUCUAUUUCAUAUUGGCUUCUAAUGUCAUCACUCCCACUGUGCUUAUUUUGGCCUCCUACCUCUUCAUCAUUGUAGCCAUUCUGAAGAUCCGCUCCACCCAGGGCCGCCUCAAGGCCUUCUCUACAUGUGGUUCCCACCUGACAGCUGUCACUUUGUACUAUGGUUCAAUCCUCUUUAUUUACUCCCGGCCAAGCACAAGUUAUGCCCUGGAGAGGGACAAAGUGGUGUCAGUGUUCUAUACUGUAGUGAUUCCAAUGCUUAACCCUAUGAUCUACAGCUUACGAAAUAAAGAUGUCAAGGAUGCAUUGAGGAAAAUGUUAGAUACAGUCAAGUUGUCAUGA